CCUGUCGAUCUUUUUCAUUCUUGUAAAUUCACAGAACAAAACCAAACACUUGAGCCUCAUGAUGUGUUCAACACGUGAUAAAGGACCUAUCGAAUUUCGUAAAGAUGAAAAUUUUCCUUUCGAAUGACUGUUUUUGCAUUCCAGCCUUCUCCAUUUCACCACCAGACUCAUCUUUACACCCGCUUCAUCAGUCUUAGACAAGUAACAUCGUUACUUUUUGCCAGAUCCAGCCACGCAUACCUGACCUAAAUGUGGUUUGAUGAAAAAAAUUUUUUUUUGUUUCUUUUGAAAAUGUUGGAUAUUGUGCAUAUGUAACCGCACCAAAAUUUUCCACAUAUUUGGUCAAGAAAUUGAACAUUCUUCUACGUCAUGUUUGGUGA
Non-coding RNA from Schizosaccharomyces pombe (fission yeast), 380 nucleotides. The record is from the annotation of a GenBank genome assembly. NCBI's taxonomy places the organism in Eukaryota, Fungi, Ascomycota, Schizosaccharomycetes, Schizosaccharomycetales, Schizosaccharomycetaceae.